This 29-nucleotide non-coding RNA is filed under the name Mus musculus (house mouse). Lineage: Eukaryota; Metazoa; Chordata; Mammalia; Rodentia; Muridae. The record is from RNAcentral.
UCAGUCACAGGAAAGGAAUGGAAACUGCA